Molecule: transfer RNA, 60 nt
Filed under: Bradypus tridactylus (Pale-throated sloth)
Lineage: Eukaryota; Metazoa; Chordata; Mammalia; Pilosa; Bradypodidae
Description: tRNA-Ser
Source: RNAcentral
AAGAUAGACAUACAGGAACCGCUAACUCUUGUCACCGCACAUAAAAGUACGGCUCUCUUG